This 352-nucleotide ribosomal RNA is filed under the name uncultured bacterium. Its description in RNAcentral is "bacterial SSU rRNA". It matches the Rfam family "Bacterial small subunit ribosomal RNA", at positions 29 to 404 of the family's 1533-position model. The record is from RNAcentral.
AACGAACGCUGGCGGCAGGCCUCAAACAUGCAAGUCUAGGGGGUGUAGCAAUACAUCACCGGCGGACGGGUGCGUAACACGUGGGAAUAUACCUUUUGGUUCGGAACAACGCAGGGAAACUUGCGCUAAUACCGAAUGUGCCCUUACGGGGAAAGAUUUAUCGCCAAAAGGGAUUAGCCCGCGUAGGAUUAGCUAGUUGGUGAGGUAAUGGCUCACCAAGGCUCCGAUCCUUAGCUGUUCUGAGAGGAAGAUCAGCCACACUGGGACUGAGACACGGCCCAGACUCCUACGGGAGGCAGCAGUUGGGAAUCUUGGACAAUGGGGGAAACCCUGAUCCAGCCAUGCCGCGUGA